UACGGGGGGAGCAAGCGUUGUUCGGAUUUACUGGGCGUAAAGGGCGCGUAGGCGGUAGCACAAGUCAGUUGUGAAAUCUCCGGGCUUAACUCGGAAAGGUCAACUGAUACUGUGCGACUAGAGUGCAGAAGGGGCAACUGGAAUUCUCGGUGUAGCGGUGAAAUGCGUAGAUAUCGAGAGGAACACCCGCGGCGAAGGCGGGUUGCUGGGCUGACACUGACGCUGAGGCGCGAAAGCCAGGGGAGCGAACGGG
This 253-nucleotide ribosomal RNA is filed under the name uncultured bacterium. RNAcentral describes it as "partial 16S ribosomal RNA". It matches the Rfam family "Bacterial small subunit ribosomal RNA", at positions 524 to 776 of the family's 1533-position model. The record is from RNAcentral.